This 468-nucleotide ribosomal RNA is filed under the name uncultured bacterium. RNAcentral describes it as "partial 16S ribosomal RNA". It matches the Rfam family "Bacterial small subunit ribosomal RNA", at positions 28 to 507 of the family's 1533-position model. The record is from RNAcentral.
GACGAACGCUGGCGGCGUGCUUAACACAUGCAAGUCGAACGGAAAGGCCCUGCUUUUGUGGGGUGCUCGAGUGGCGAACGCGUGAGUAACACGUGAGUAACCUGCCCUUCACUUUGGUAUAACUUCAGGAAACUGGGGCUAAUCCCGUAUAGGAGCUCCUGCUGCAUUGUGGGGGUUGGAAAUUUUCGGCGGUUGGGGAUGGACUCGCGGCUUAUCAGCUUGUUGGUUGGGUAGUGGCUUACCAAGGCUUUGACGGGUAGCCGGCCUGAGAGGGUGACCGGCGACAUUGGGACUGAGAUACGGCCCAGACUCCUACGGGAGGCAGCAGUGGGGAAUAUUGCACAAUGGGCGGAAGCCUGAUGCAGCAACGCCGCGUGCGGGAUGACGGCCUUCGGGUUGUGAACCGCUUUCGCCUGUGACGAAGCGUGAGUGACGGUAAUGGGUGAAGAAGCACCGGCUAACUACGUG